RNAcentral lists this ribosomal RNA (372 nucleotides) under uncultured organism. RNAcentral describes it as "bacterial SSU rRNA". It matches the Rfam family "Bacterial small subunit ribosomal RNA", at positions 526 to 896 of the family's 1533-position model. The record is from RNAcentral.
CGUAGGUGGCGAGCGUUGUCCGGAUUUACUGGGCGUAAAGAGCGCGCAGGCGGCUGGGCAAGUCCGAUGUGAAAGCUUCCGGCUUAAUUGGAAAAUUGCAUUGGAAACUGCUCGGCUUGAAGGUGGGAGAGGGUAGCGGAAUUCCCGGUGUAGUGGUGAAAUGCGUAGAUAUCGGGAGGAACACCAGUGGCGAAGGCGGCUGCCUGGCCCAUUCUUGACGCUGAGGCGCGAAAGCUAGGGGAGCAAACGGGAUUAGAUACCCCGGUAGUCCUAGCCGUAAACGAUGAACACUAGGCGUAGUCUGUACCGACCCCGGCUGUGCCGUAGCCAACGCAUUAAGUGUUCCGCCUGGGGAGUACGGCCGCAAGGCUA